UUACAUCUCUCUAUGUAGUCAUGUAGCAAAUUACAAUGAAGACAUGGGAAGAUGUAAAC
This 59-nucleotide microRNA precursor is filed under the name Eisenia fetida (common brandling worm). RNAcentral's name for it is "Efe-Mir-1995-P2_pre stem-loop". The record is from RNAcentral. Lineage: Eukaryota; Metazoa; Annelida; Clitellata; Crassiclitellata; Lumbricidae.